Molecule: ribosomal RNA, 419 nt
Filed under: bacterium
Lineage: Bacteria
Description: partial 16S ribosomal RNA
Rfam family: Bacterial small subunit ribosomal RNA
Source: RNAcentral
UGGGGGAUAUUGCACAAUGGGCGAAAGCCUGAUGCAGCGACGCCGCGUGGGGGAUGAAGGCCUUCGGGUUGUAAACUUCUUUUGCUCUGAACAAGGCGCACCAUGGGGUGUGUUGAGUGUAGGGGUUGAUUAGCGCCGGCUAACUACGUGCCAGCAGCCGCGGUAAUACGUAGGGCGCGAGCGUUGUCCGGAAUUAUUGGGCGUAAAGGGCUUGUAGGUGGCUGGUUGCGUCUGUCGUGAAAGCUCAUGGCUUAACUGUGGGUUUGCGGUGGGUACGGGCUGGCUUGAGUGCAGUAGGGGAAGCUGGAAUUCCUGGUGUAGCGGUAGAAUGCGCAGAUAUCAGGAGGAAUACCGGUGGCGAAGGCGGGUCUCUGGGCUGUUACUGACACUGAGGAGCGAAAGCAUGGGGAGCGAACAGG